GAAAUGCGAUACUUGGUGUGAAUUGCAGAAUCCCGUGAACCAUCGAGUCUUUGAACGCAAGUUGCGCCUGAAGCCAUUAGGCUGAAGGCACGUCUGCCUGGGCGUCACGCAUUGCGUCACCCACUCACCCCAUGCCUCUGUGGCCAGGUUAAGUGCGUGGGUGGAUAUUGGCCCCCCGUACACAUUCGUGCUCGGUCGGCCUAAAAGAAGGGUCCCCAAUGACGGACAUCACGACAAGUGGUGGUUGUCGAACCGUCGCGUCACGCCGUGCAUGCCAUUCUUUGUUGGGGACUGCCUCCUUGACCCUUAAGUACCAAUAACAACGGUACCUUAACUGCGACCCCAGGUCAGGCGGGAUUACCCGCUGAGUUUAA
Molecule: ribosomal RNA, 374 nt
Filed under: Cassiope tetragona subsp. tetragona
Lineage: Eukaryota; Viridiplantae; Streptophyta; Magnoliopsida; Ericales; Ericaceae
Description: eukaryotic LSU rRNA
Rfam family: 5.8S ribosomal RNA (bases 1-107)
Source: RNAcentral